This 253-nucleotide ribosomal RNA is filed under the name uncultured bacterium. RNAcentral's name for it is "partial 16S ribosomal RNA". It matches the Rfam family "Bacterial small subunit ribosomal RNA", at positions 524 to 776 of the family's 1533-position model. The record is from RNAcentral.
UACAGAGGGUGCUAGCGUUGUUCGGAAUCAUUGGGCGUAAAGGGUGCGUAGGUGGCGCUGUAAGUCGGGUGUGAAAUUUCGGAGUUUAACUCCGAAACUGCAUUCGAUACUGCGGUGCUUGAGGACUGGAGAGGAGACUGGAAUUCAUGGUGUAGCAGUGAAAUGCGUAGAGAUCAUGAGGAAGACCAGUGGCGAAGGCGGGUCUCUGGACAGUUCCUGACACUGAGGCACGAAGGCCAGGGGAGCAAACGGG